UGGGGAAUAUUGCACAAUGGGCGCAAGCCUGAUGCAGCCAUGCCGCGUGUAUGAAGAAGGCCUUCGGGUUGUAAAGUACUUUCAGCGGGGAGGAAGGCGAUAAGGUUAAUAACCUUGUCGAUUGACGUUACCCGCAGAAGAAGCACCGGCUAACUCCGUGCCAGCAGCCGCGGUAAUACGGAGGGUGCAAGCGUUAAUCGGAAUUACUGGGCGUAAAGCGCACGCAGGCGGUCUGUCAAGUCGGAUGUGAAAUCCCCGGGCUCAACCUGGGAACUGCAUUCGAAACUGGCAGGCUAGAGUCUUGUAGAGGGGGGUAGAAUUCCAGGUGUAGCGGUGAAAUGCGUAGAGAUCUGGAGGAAUACCGGUGGCGAAGGCGGCCCCCUGGACAAAGACUGACGCUCAGGUGCGAAAGCGUAGGGAGCAAACA
This 427-nucleotide ribosomal RNA is filed under the name uncultured bacterium. RNAcentral describes it as "partial 16S ribosomal RNA". It matches the Rfam family "Bacterial small subunit ribosomal RNA", at positions 355 to 774 of the family's 1533-position model. The record is from RNAcentral.